RNAcentral lists this ribosomal RNA (1002 nucleotides) under uncultured bacterium. Its description in RNAcentral is "bacterial SSU rRNA". It matches the Rfam family "Bacterial small subunit ribosomal RNA", at positions 356 to 1376 of the family's 1533-position model. The record is from RNAcentral.
GGGGAAUAUUGGGCAAUGGGGGAAACCCUGACCCAGCAACGCCGCGUGAAGGAAGAAGGCCUUCGGGUUGUAAACUUCUUUUACCAGGGACGAAGGACGUGACGGUACCUGGAGAAAAAGCAACGGCUAACUACGUGCCAGCAGCCGCGGUAAUACGUAGGUUGCAAGCGUUGUCCGGAUUUACUGGGUGUAAAGGGCGUGUAGGCGGAGAUGCAAGUUGGGAGUGAAAUCCAUGGGCUCAACCCAUGAACUGCUCUCAAAACUGUAUCCCUUGAGUAUCGGAGAGGCAAGCGGAAUUCCUAGUGUAGCGGUGAAAUGCGUAGAUAUUAGGAGGAACACCAGUGGCGAAGGCGGCUUGCUGGACGACAACUGACGCUGAGGCGCGAAAGCGUGGGGAGCAAACAGGAUUAGAUACCCUGGUAGUCCACGCUGUAAACGAUGAAUACUAGGUGUGGGAGGACUGACCCCUUCCGUGCCGCAGUUAACACAAUAAGUAUUCCACCUGGGGAGUACGACCGCAAGGUUGAAACUCAAAGGAAUUGACGGGGGCCCGCACAAGCAGUGGAUUAUGUGGUUUAAUUCGACGCAACGCGAAGAACCUUACCAGGAUUUGACAUCCAACUAACGAAGUAGAGAUACAUUAGGUACCCUUCGGGGGAAGUUGAGACAGGUGGUGCAUGGUUGUCGUCAGCUCGUGUCGUGAGAUGUUGGGUUAAGUCCCGCAACGAGCGCAACCCCUAUUGUUAGUUGCUACGAAAGAGCACUCUAGCGAGACUGCCGUUGACAAAACGGAGGAAGGCGGGGACGACGUCAAAUCAUCAUGCCCCUUAUGUCCUGGGCUACACACGUAAUACAAUGGCGGUCAACAGAGGGAAGCAAAGCCGCGAGGUGGAGCAAAUCCCUAAAAGCCGUCUCAGUUCGGAUUGCAGGCUGCAACUCGCCUGCAUGAAGCUGGAAUUGCUAGUAAUCGCGGAUCAGCAUGCCGCGGUGAAUACGUUCCCG